UACGGAGGGUGCAAGCGUUAAUCGGAAUUACUGGGCGUAAAGCGCGCGUAGGCGGUGCGGUAAGUCAGGGGUUAAAGGCUGCAGCUCAACUGCAGUAAGGCCUUUGAUACUAUCGCGCUAGAGUACCAGAGAGGAUGGCGGAAUUCCCGGUGUAGCGGUGAAAUGCGUAGAUAUCGGGAGGAACGCCGGUGGGGAAGCCGGUCUCCUGGGCCGCGCCCGACGCUGAGACCCGAAAGCUAGGGGAGCAAACAGG
Molecule: ribosomal RNA, 253 nt
Filed under: uncultured microorganism
Description: partial 16S ribosomal RNA
Rfam family: Bacterial small subunit ribosomal RNA
Source: RNAcentral